GAGUUUGAUCCUGGCUCAGAUUGAACGCUGGCGGCAGGCCUAACACAUGCAAGUCGAGCGGUAACAGAUUGAUAGCUUGCUAUCACAGGCGUCGAGUGGCGGACGGGUGAGUAAUGCCUGGGAAUAUGCCUUAGUGUGGGGGAUAACUAUUGGAAACGAUAGCUAAUACCGCAUAACGUCUUCGGACCAAAGAGGGGGACCUUCGGGCCUCUCGCGCUAAGAUUAGCCCAGGUGGGAUUAGCUAGUUGGUGAGGUAAAGGCUCACCAAGGCAACGAUCCCUAGCUGGUCUGAGAGGAUGAUCAGCCACACUGGAACUGAGACACGGUCCAGACUCCUACGGGAGGCAGCAGUGGGGAAUAUUGCACAAUGGGGGAAACCCUGAUGCAGCCAUGCCGCGUGUAUGAAGAAGGCCUUCGGGUUGUAAAGUACUUUCAGUCGUGAGGAAGAUUAUACAGUUAAUACCCAUUAUGUGUGACGUUAGCAACAGAAGAAGGACCGGCUAACUCCGUGCCAGCAGCCGUGGUAAUACGGAGGGUCCGAGCGUUAAUCGGAAUUACUGGGCGUAAAGCGCACGCAGGCGGUUUGUUAAGCUAGAUGUGAAAGCCCCGGGCUCAACCUGGGAAUAGCAUUUAGAACUGGCAGGCUAGAGUCUUGGAGGCAGGCUAGAGUCUUGGAGAGGGGAGUGGAAUUUCUGGUGUAGCGGUGAAAUGCGUAGAUAUCAGAAGGAACAUCAGUGGCGAAGGCGACUCCCUGGCCAAAGACUGACGCUCAUGUGCGAAAGUGUGGGUAGCGAACAGGAUUAGAUACCCUGGUAGUCCACACUGUAAACGAUGUCUACUAGCUGUUUGUGGAUUUAAUCCUUUAGUGGCGCAGCUAACGCAUAAAGUAGACCGCCUGGGGAGUACGGUCGCAAGAUUAAAACUCAAAUGAAUUGACGGGGGCCCGCACAAGCGGUGGAGCAUGUGGUUUAAUUCGACGCAACGCGAAGAACCUUACCAACUCUUGACAUCCAGAGAAUUCGCUAGAGAUAGCUUAGUGCCUUCGGGAACUCUGAGACAGGUGCUGCAUGGCUGUCGUCAGCUCGUGUUGUGAAAUGUUGGGUUAAGUCCCGUAACGAGCGCAACCCUUAUCCUUAUUUGCCAGCGGGUUAUGCCGGGAACUCUAAGGAGACUGCCGGUGACAAACCGGAGGAAGGUGGGGACGACGUCAAGUCAUCAUGGCCCUUACGAGUUGGGCUACACACGUGCUACAAUGGCCAGUACAGAGGGCUGCAAACCUGCGAAGGUAAGCUAAUCUCAGAAAGCCGGUCGUAGUCCGGAUUGGAGUCUGCAACUCGACUCCAUGAAGUCGGAAUCGCUAGUAAUCGCGAAUCAGAAUGUCGCGGUGAAUACGUUCCCGGGCCUUGUACACACCGCCCGUCACACCAUGGGAGUGGGUUGCAAAAGAAGUGGGUAGUCUAACCUUCGGGAGGGCGCUCACCACUUUGUGAUUCAUGACUGGGGUGAAGUCGUAACAAGGUAGCCCUAGGGGAACCUGCGGCUGGAUCACCUCCUUA
Molecule: ribosomal RNA, 1556 nt
Filed under: uncultured prokaryote
Description: partial 16S ribosomal RNA
Rfam family: Bacterial small subunit ribosomal RNA
Source: RNAcentral